This 392-nucleotide ribosomal RNA is filed under the name uncultured bacterium. RNAcentral's name for it is "partial 16S ribosomal RNA". It matches the Rfam family "Bacterial small subunit ribosomal RNA", at positions 338 to 727 of the family's 1533-position model. The record is from RNAcentral.
CCUACGGGGGGCAGCAGUGAGGAAUAUUGGUCAAUGGGCGCGAGCCUGAACCAGCCAAGUAGCGUGAAGGAUGACUGCCCUACGGGUUGUAAACUUCUUUUAUACAGGAAUAAAGUGACUUACGUGUGUCUUUUUGUAUGUACCUUAUGAAUAAGGAUCGGCUAACUCCGUGCCAGCAGCCGCGGUAAUACGGAGGAUCCGAGCGUUAUCCGGAUUUAUUGGGUUUAAAGGGAGCGUAGGCGGCAUGUUAAGCGAGCUGUGAAAUGUUGGGGAUCAACCCGGGACUUGCAGGGCGAACUGGCGUGCUGGAGUCCACGGAAAGGAGGCGGAAUUGGUGGUGGAGCGGGGAAAUGCUGAGAUAUGACGAAGAACUCAGAUUGCGAAGGCAGAUU